AUUGAACGCUGGCGGCAGGCCUAACACAUGCAAGUCGAGCGGAUGAAGGGUGCUUGCUCCUGGAUUCAGCGGCGGACGGGUGAGUAAUGCCUAGGAAUCUGCCUGGUAGUGGGGGAUAACGUCCGGAAACGGGCGCUAAUAACGCCUACGUCCUGAGGGUGAUAGUGGGGGAUCUUCGGACCUCACGCUAUCAGAUGAGCCUAGGUCGGUUUAGUUAGUUUGUGGGGUAAAGGCCUACCAAGGCGACGAUCCGUAACUGGUCUGAGAGGAUGAUCAGUCACACUGGAAGUUAGACAGGGACCAUACUCCUACGGUAGGCAGCAGUGUGGAAUAUGGGACAGUGGUCGAAAGCCUGGUCCAGCGAUGCCGCGUGUGUGAAGAAGGUCUUCGGAUUGUAAAGCACUUUAAGUUGGGAGGAAGGGCAGUAAGUUAAUACCUUGCUUUUUUGACGUUACCAGCAGAAUAAGCACCGGCUAACUUCGUG
Molecule: ribosomal RNA, 484 nt
Filed under: uncultured bacterium
Lineage: Bacteria
Description: partial 16S ribosomal RNA
Rfam family: Bacterial small subunit ribosomal RNA
Source: RNAcentral